GUUUCUGUAGGAGCCUAGGAUCAGUAGUCUGCACUGCAGGGAAAAAGGCAUUUUUUUCUAGAAUGUUGUCCUAUUUUUUAUAGCUAUUUUGUGCCAUUUUAAAAUUGGCCCUCCCCUCUUAGCCAUGGUCUCUCAUUCCCCCAAAUAAUUGCUUUUACGUUUUAUUUCAGAUAAUUCACUGAGUGGGAAAUCAAAGAUACGAUAGUUAGGCAGCACAUUAGUAUUCACGGAGGGCUUUUUUGUGCUUCUCAUUACAGAAUAUAUUUUCUUGCUGAGAAUCUCCCAUCCUGCUCCCCAAAGGUGGCAUUAUUUUGAAGCUAUGAAGAGCACCUUGCAAAAUAUUUCACUGUUUUUCUCAUGAUGGACAAUUUUCCCAAUAACAACAACAACAACCAAAAAAGCCAAAUCUUAUCUCUUAUCCAUGCCACCGUCCUCCACCUGGCCAUCUCACCUGGCGAGGGAUGGGCUGGGACAGUGUGCUAAUGCUGGGCAAUCAGCCAGGACAGGACACUUCGUGAAGAUUGAUAACGAAUGAAGUUGGAGAUGGAUGUACUGGGAUCUCCUGCUCCAUUGACUUUCCAGGGAAAAUCAGAGAGAAUGAGAACCAGGCAGAGCUGCAGACCAGGAGGAAGCUUUACUGAACUCAGGAUGCGCAUGACCUUGUGGGAGGAGGCAAUGGGAGGUCUCUGGCUCAGAUCAAAGGAAUCAGCUUUGAUAUGUGUUUAAAAAAGUGAAUUCUCUUGUGGAGAGGACACAGUCAGAGUUGGUUGGCUAAGAACAAGGAUGGCCUUAUUUGGGCAGAUGGAAAGAACAAGUCUACAAAUGUGGAGCUGGUUCUGAUGUGCUUGGACUCAGAGAUCUUAUCAGAUGGCUCUUUCUGUUAUGUAAUCAGGAGUCAGGAAGCCACAAUCCACACAAAUUACUUCUCUCUGCUCUUCAGAAAGAAACCAUAUUCAUCACAACAAGACGACCACCAGGGACUCCUCAGAGCCACGUGAUCCCCGUGGAGUUUGGCUCAUUGCAGAGCAAGGUCUCUCAUGAAUCCCCCAAGGCUUCAAGCUCCAAGGGCUGGGGGCUGAGUGUGUCUCACUUAUCACUGUAGUCCCAGCACAAGGUGGAACACGUAGCACAAAGCAGGACUUGCAGUAGUACCUUGAAUUGAAUUGACGAAAGUGGGCAUCCUUGCUGCAUGUGUGAAGGUGAUGACGGUGAGGGGGAGGCGUGCUUCUACUCCAGGUGGUGUACAGGCAUGGACUUCGAGCAGCGUUGUUAGCUGGACUCAGCAUCAGAGGUCCUCAAUGGCAAAAGCUAGUGGUGUCCCUGGUGAUGUCAAGGGUUUCUCCUGCUUUCCUUUCCACUGGAGGUGGUAGGGGAUUUCUGAGGCAAUUCCUCUUGGUACCAAGCUGUGUCAGGUUGGAGGAUGAAGUGAAACAGGUAAAAUGCUUUCUGCACUUUUCUAUGUGGUCAUCUUCGAUUUUUAAGCUCCAUGGAGUUGCUGCAGCUUCUUAAUUAUAAGCUGGAGCUCUCCCAGAACAAUUUCAUUGGUGGAUAAUUAUUAAAUUGUUUUCGUAGGGAGAACCAAGGCUGGUACCUCCUAACCUGUCAUCUCUGACAUCACUCCACAUGCAUUUAAAAAUAACUUUAUUACAUUCAUCAAAAAACAAUCUAGCUGGACUUUUGAUUGGUAUUGCAUUAAAUUUAUAUUCAAUUU
This is a long non-coding RNA of Camelus dromedarius (Arabian camel), 1711 nucleotides long. RefSeq lists it as uncharacterized. NCBI's taxonomy places the organism in Eukaryota, Metazoa, Chordata, Mammalia, Artiodactyla, Camelidae. The record is from RefSeq and is a predicted model, not a curated record. The transcript is spliced from 6 exons.